UGAACGCUGGCGGUAGGCCUAACACAUGCAAGUCGAACGGCAGCACAGUAAGAGCUUGCUCUUAUGGGUGGCGAGUGGCGGACGGGUGAGGAAUACAUCGGAAUCUACUCUGUCGUGGGGGAUAACGUAGGGAAACUUACGCUAAUACCGCAUACGACCUACGGGUGAAAGCAGGGGAUCUUCGGACCUUGCGCGAUUGAAUGAGCCGAUGUCGGAUUAGCUAGUUGGCGGGGUAAAGGCCCACCAAGGCGACGAUCCGUAGCUGGUCUGAGAGGAUGAUCAGCCACACUGGAACUGAGACACGGUCCAGACUCCUACGGGAGGCAGCAGUGGGGAAUAUUGGACAAUGGGCGAAAGCCUGAUCCAGCAAUGCCGCGUGAGUGAUGAAGGCCCUAGGGUUGUAAAGCUCUUUUACCCGGGAUGAUAAUGACAGUACCGGGAGAAUAAGCUCCGGCUAACUCCGUGCCAGCAG
RNAcentral lists this ribosomal RNA (472 nucleotides) under uncultured bacterium. RNAcentral's name for it is "bacterial SSU rRNA". It matches the Rfam family "Bacterial small subunit ribosomal RNA", at positions 30 to 514 of the family's 1533-position model. The record is from RNAcentral.